AACCCGGCGUCCUCCCUUUUGNCCUACACUGCGUGAGCGGAACGAAAACAACAACACCUAAAAUGUGGAAUAUAGCAUAUAGUCGAAAGAGAAAUCUACGAAAAAACAAACAAAACUUUCAACAACGGAUCUCUUGGUUCUCGCAUCGAUGAAGAGCGCAGCGAAAUGCGAUACCUAGUGUGAAUUGCAGCCAUCGUGAAUCAUCGAGUUCUUGAACGCACAUUGCGCCCCUCGGCAUUCCGGGGGGCAUGCCUGUUUGAGCGUCGUUUCCAUCUUGCGCGUGCGCAGAGUUGGGGGAGCGGAGCGGACGACGUGUAAAGAGCGUCGGAGCUGCGACUCGCCUGAAAGGGAGCGAAGCUGGCCGAGCGAACUAGACUUUUUUUCAGGGACGCUUGGCGGCCGAGAGCGAGUGUUGCGAGACAACAAAAAGCUCGACCUCAAAUCAGGUAGGAAUACCCGCUGAACUUAAGCAUAUCAAUA
RNAcentral lists this ribosomal RNA (480 nucleotides) under Pichia kudriavzevii. Its description in RNAcentral is "eukaryotic LSU rRNA". The stretch from base 114 to 266 matches the Rfam family "5.8S ribosomal RNA". The record is from RNAcentral. Lineage: Eukaryota; Fungi; Ascomycota; Pichiomycetes; Pichiales; Pichiaceae.